Long non-coding RNA from Motacilla alba alba, 1233 nucleotides. RefSeq lists it as uncharacterized. The transcript is spliced from 3 exons. The record is from RefSeq and is a predicted model, not a curated record. Lineage: Eukaryota; Metazoa; Chordata; Aves; Passeriformes; Motacillidae.
UAUCCACGAGCCAACGUUGUGUUUCCCUUUGUAUUCUGCUUUCAAAUAAAACAUCUAGAGACAGCACAGGCCAGUUCCCGGAGAAUGUAAAGUUGAAGACUGCUGGUCAAAUAAAAACUUCUCUGAUAUCUCAUAAAAUCUUUGUAAAUGUGACAAUCAAGCACUCAAGAAAAUUCACCUGGCAACAGCUGCAUUGAAACAAAGUUACUGCAGCAACAAGUAACGUCACAGUGUUAAUAAUUGACAUGGAAAGAAUGAAAAGGUGAGGAAGGGAUAAAGAGGACAAAGGAGAGAUUUCAGUAUAAACUUCUGCUGGCAGUUGAGAGUGUGCUGUGUGUUUCGCAGGAGCCAGCUUCCACAGAGCAGGCACCCGUACUGCUGUUCCUGCCCCUUGGGAAAGCCAUGGCAAGGAAACAAAACCUGACUUAUAUGGAGUGAUCCACCAAGAAAAACAUACAUAAUUAUGAAACAGAUGUAUCUUUAUAAACAAGAAUGGAAUACAUAUCAUCUGAUGUAGAAGGCAGAAGAAAUAUUGCAUCAAUAUAAAAAAUGCUAGAAAAAGCGAAUGAAGAUUUCUUUAAAAAAACAAGAAAGUCUGUAAAACAUGAACAAUUUAAAAAGGUAAUAAUAAAUAAAUUUGGAGCAGUAAUAUAAAAUAUGCUUCUCAUCAAAUGAAUAUCUUAAAUACUGACCCACAAAUGAUUUUCAAAUUUCAAAGCAAGCACUGAAAUAAUGUGAUGUCUUUGUUUGUCUUUAUGUCAUAAAUUAACACUGCAGAAGGUCAACACACAUCAAACACCAGGAUUUUAUGAAAAACUCUACAUAGGAAAAAACUGUAAGACAACCAUUUUUUUUCAGGAAGGGUAGCAAAGGAAGGGCUGUGCAUAGAUUUUUAUUAAUUUUUCAUUGUUUGCUUUUAAAGUAGAAUACUGGUAAACAUAUUUCCAAAUACUGGAAUGAAAUAUCACUUUGCAAAAAAAAUACUGAUUUUUGUUAUUAUUUACCAGUAUUAUUAUUUACCACUAACCAACAUUAAGCUUAUUUUAUUCUUUCUAGAAAAUAAGAUAGCAAAGAUAAAAAAAUGUAGCUUAAUAGAUUAGGAAAAAAUACAGGCACUGUCUGACAGACUACAAAAAUCUAGAAAAGUUCAAAAUGUUUUCAGCUAGGCACAAAAAUGCUGUUAAUGAUUAGCUGCAUAACAGGAGAUUUAUCUCUGUCUUUUUUUUCCUUUCU